This 90-nucleotide transfer RNA is filed under the name Escherichia coli. RNAcentral's name for it is "tRNA-Met". It matches the Rfam family "tRNA". From Rfam's summary of the family: Transfer RNA (tRNA) molecules are approximately 80 nucleotides in length. Their secondary structure includes four short double-helical elements and three loops (D, anti-codon, and T loops). Further hydrogen bonds mediate the characteristic L-shaped molecular structure. tRNAs have two regions of fundamental functional importance: the anti-codon, which is responsible for specific mRNA codon recognition, and the 3' end, to which the tRNAs corresponding amino acid is attached (by aminoacyl-tRNA synthetases). tRNAs cope with the degeneracy of the genetic code in two manners: having more than one tRNA (with a specific anti-codon) for a particular amino acid; and 'wobble' base-pairing, i.e. permitting non-standard base-pairing at the 3rd anti-codon position. RNAcentral also lists the same sequence under 3 other names. The record is from RNAcentral. Lineage: Bacteria; Pseudomonadati; Pseudomonadota; Gammaproteobacteria; Enterobacterales; Enterobacteriaceae.
GGUCCCGUUGCCUAGCGUCCGAAGGCAGCCGACUCAUAAUCGGUCACAGUUAAUGACACACCACUGGUUAGAAUCCAGUCGGGACCACCA